GGCAGGCGAGCGGCGCGGCAGGCCCUGGCGCUCCCCACCGCGGCCCUGCACUCACGAUCUCCAGGAAGAUGACGGCUCCCGAGAAGGAUGGACAUGCUUGUGCACAUGCUUCUCCUAUGUAGAGAGUGUUUUCAUCCACUACAAUGAAUAACUCCUGACAGUGGACUUGCACAUUGUUCUCAGAUGUGUGGAUGGGGUGAGAGAAAGGGAUGAUGAAUUUGCUACCAGGUAUUUGGAAG
This is a non-coding RNA of Lonchura striata (white-rumped munia), 239 nucleotides long. The record is from RefSeq and is a predicted model, not a curated record. Lineage: Eukaryota; Metazoa; Chordata; Aves; Passeriformes; Estrildidae.